Toxorhynchites rutilus septentrionalis is the source of this 606-nucleotide RNA transcript. It is a transcript of the gene named adult-specific cuticular protein ACP-20-like, with no coding region annotated. NCBI's taxonomy places the organism in Eukaryota, Metazoa, Arthropoda, Insecta, Diptera, Culicidae. The transcript is spliced from 3 exons. The record is from RefSeq and is a predicted model, not a curated record.
CUGUGGACAGUACCAGUUCUGCAGAAGCGAUUAUCCUAGCAAAAUGUUCAAAGUUACCAUCUUCAGUUUAUGCUGCCUGUUGGUCGCUGUUUCCGGCCAUUAUUGGGGAGGCGAUGGGCAUAAGGAUUAUCACACUUAUCCCAAAUAUAAGUACGAAUAUGGAGUUAAGGACCACCAUACCGGAGAUCAUAAAAGCCAAUGGGAGCACCGUGAUGGAGAUGUUGUGAAGGGAGGUUAUACUCUGGACGAGGCUGACGGUACCAAACGAGUGGUUGAGUAUCAUUCGGACAAACAUAGUGGACUGCAUGCCCAUGUGAAGCGAAUCGGCCAUGCUCACCAUCCACAGGUUUAUGGCCAUCAUCACGAUCAUCACGGCUAUGGCCAUGGUUCGGGAUACAGCUACAGUCAUCUGGAUCAACAUCAUUGACCCACAUUUCAAUGAGAUCAUUAUUUGAAAAUAAAUUAUUUACACUUUUUUGAGUCUGGAAUGAUUAAAUGGUCGUCUGCAAUAUAUCGCAAUAUAUUUUACUGGCCUAACAGUCUAAAAUGUCCGUAUGGCAGAUUUUUUCCAAGAAAAAUUUCCUUACACAAUUCAUAAUAACAGGC